UACGUAGGGACCUAGCGUUGUCCGGAAUUAUUGGGCGUAAAGGGUGCGUAGGCGGCGCGGUAAGUCGGGUGUGAAAUCUCGGGGCUUAACUCCGAAACUGCAUUCGAUACUGCCGUGCUUGAGGACUGGAGAGGAGACUGGAAUUUACGGUGUAGCGGUGAAAUGCGUAGAUAUCGUAAGGAAGACCAGUGGCGAAGGCGGGUCUCUGGACAGUUCCUGACGCUGAGGCACGAAGGUCAGGGGAGCAAACGGG
This 253-nucleotide ribosomal RNA is filed under the name uncultured bacterium. RNAcentral's name for it is "partial 16S ribosomal RNA". It matches the Rfam family "Bacterial small subunit ribosomal RNA", at positions 524 to 776 of the family's 1533-position model. The record is from RNAcentral.